This 511-nucleotide long non-coding RNA is filed under the name Felis catus (domestic cat). RNAcentral's name for it is "lncRNA (ENSFCAG00000047461.1)". The record is from RNAcentral. Lineage: Eukaryota; Metazoa; Chordata; Mammalia; Carnivora; Felidae.
CCCCGCCCCUGCCCGGGGGGAGCAGAGGCGCUGACCUUUCCCCCAGGUUUUCCUAGAACGCCGCUGCCCUAGGGAUUCUGCAGGGAGUUGCAAGACAGAACGCAGCGGCCAGAGCGAAUUUCCCGUGGAAAGCUUGAGAGGAGAGAAUUCUGGGGGUCCUUUCACGUGUAACUUACAAUGAUGCUGUUGUCUCCGAGCUUCUAAUUGAAAAUAACUGUGCCAGCUACUAGAUUCUUGGGCAACCGGAAGACUUCUCCGGCACAGGCUUUACCUGUGGAAGGACGGCCAUUUCCAGGAGAUGGUGUCUUUCUGGUUACUUCUGCUUGCGUGCCACUGUGCGAUUGCCCAGGGACCAGCUUGGGAGAGAACAACAAUGAAAAGUUAGUGGGCUUUCUCUUAUUUUAUCUGCCCUAUAAAUGCUCCCUGUCCCACAUCUUGCACAGAGAGAUUCUUCUGAGGUUCUUUCUGGCCACAUACAGACUCUAAGUAGCAUGUGGUCUUUGAUUCCAGG